AACUGUGCUAUCCUUGCUGUGAGACAAUACCUUCCCCCAGAGCAAGAAUCUGGAUCUGAGAAGAGUUGAUGUGCCCCAUAUACCAGUCAAUACAUGGCCUUCCAUUGUACUUCCUUCCUUGCCUUCUCUCAUGAAGGACUUCUUCCUUCCAUAGGUACAAGCUGUUGAGCAACUUAUGGAGUCUUAAGCAUAGACUGGUUCUGUCUAUUCCAUCUCUUUUGUUCCCUGCCAAGCAUUCAAAAGCAGGAAAGAACCAUUACUGUAUAACAUCUACAGCCCCAUUGCCUCCCUGUUGACUCUAACUGUUGUACUACAGAAGGGGGUACCAAGGCCUUCCCUGGGGCUCAACUGUGGGAAAAAAAAGAUGCUCAUGGGCUACUGCAUUUCUAGCUCUGGGGAGAAAACAUGGUCCUCUAUUUCUAAGAGUUCACAGUCUGAUGACAGAAACAUAAACUGCUAGAACUUGGCUUGAUUAGACAUCAGCAGGUCUCUGCAGAAUGCUUUGAGAACACACGUGAGCAGGAAACCGAUUUUCUCAGAGAGUCAGAGAAAGUUACAAAGAGCAGGUCAUGCCUGCCCUGAGCUGUGAGUCAAAAAUAGCUAGGCAUGGGAGAUGAAGGAGACAUGGUGGGCCAGAAAGGAGCAUUUGCCCAGACAUAGACAUGAAAAAGAAUGGGCAAGUCCCUGACAGGAGACAGGGAAUGAUCCUAGAAAGCCACAAGAGCCCAUGCCUACCCCCUGACUCGUCUGGAACCCUGGGAAGAUGAAGACGCUGAAGAAUAUCAUCAACGGGAAAGAGUGCCAGGGAUCAUGCUGCCAGUCUGAGAGGCUGGAAGACCACGGCUGUGGUAGCAUUAGCCAUCGCUUGUGCAAUACAGCAUCGGAGUAUCCACAAAUUAUCACCGCCAGUUUUCAUUACACAGUCAAGGGAAGCAGAUGCUAGGGAAGUUCACUCAGUAGGCAACAGCAGGAUUAGAACUUACCCUGGGUUCUAUACUCCAAAGGCCAUAGAGGAGAUUAUGACCCAUGAGGACCUCAGUACAGCACCCCAACCUAAAGGAUGAGGAAUCUCCUGAUUCUGGAGCAGACCUACCUCCCCUUCCUUAAUCAUCAGAAGCUCCUCUACAGUAUCCCUGUACUAUCACUCGUUCCUUCCCAUCCUCUGCUUCUUAGAGUAUGUCCGCUCCUUCUUUCAUGGUGUUCCUUAAGCCUUAUAGGGGGUUGAUGUAGCUGUCCCACAUCGGGCUGAGCACUCAGGAAUCACUUUUUCUCAGCCCUUUGGUUUUUUGAGUCUCUGAAUUAACUUCAGCCCACUGCAGAAGCUGAGAGCACCACAGAUCUAUGGUUAUGAAUGCCCAGCAACCAUUAGGCAAAACGUAAAGACCCAAGGCAGAAGGCUGGAAGGGAAGCAGAUGCUUGCACGAUGGGCUGAGCCAUUCUGAACUGCUGUUCCCACCUGUAUGACUCCUGCAUACUGACUGUUAAACAUCCCCAGCCUCAAAAGUUCAGAAGUACGGGUGCAUGUUUCAUAACCUGGAAGGACAUCCAUGGCAAAUCACCAAGGGAUAGAAAGGUUUCUAAGUAAUAUGAAAGACAAGAAUCUGGGGGCAGCAAAGCUGGGUUCUCUGAUGCAGGGUUCUCUCUGGAGACAACUGUGCAAACAUUGACAGGAAUUACAAGUCACCUGAGACCCGAUGGGAAGACAACCCACUCCAUGGUGGCUGACUCAGCGGUUCCCGGGAACUUUGCUCCUCGACAUGUGGACCUGACCAUUGGUUACUUCCUCACAACACAGAAGCUGGCUUCUUCCAGAGCAGGCAAUGUAAGGAUAGAAAGGAAGGUGAACGCAGUGUCCUCUGUGACCUAAUUUCUGAAAUUACAGACUGUCGCUGUCACUUUACUGUUGGAAGUCACUGAGGCCUGUCUACUCAGGUGUGGGGCACUGAACACCACUUCUUGGAAAGCAGAGUCUGAAAGCACUUGUGAGCUGUCACAGGAGCCAUGACAGAGACCUGAGGUCCCCAACACCUUUGGUCUUCCUAAAGGGACCACGUGAGUACAUGGUUCAGUCAGGUUAACUCACCCUGGGUAAAUAUUGAUCAUUAAAAGACAAGAAAAGAGAAAAAGAGAGGGAGAGAUGGGGGAGAGAUUGAAGUAUGAUGUUUUCUCAGGGCCUAUCUGGAAGAAGUGCCACGUGGCUGGACAGCUCAGUGAGUAUUCUCAGGAGGCUGUGGCUCCUUUCUCUCCUGCCCUGCCUUACUUUGUUGUUGUUGUUGUUUUGUUUUAUUUUGUUUUGUUUGUUUGUUUUUUCUUUAUCCUUGAUCCCCUGAUAUUGUACCACAGAAACAUUUUAACAAAUCCGCAUCUCAAAAUCAGCACCGAGAAACUUGAGUUAUGAGAAAAAUGGAUUGUUUGUAUGUUAUAUUUGAGAAAAAACCUCUUGCAUCCCAGGCUAGUCUACAACUCAGUAUGUAGCCCAGGCUAGCCUCAGACAUGAAGCAAUCCUCUCGUCUCAGCCUCAUGAGUGCUGAAAUCCUAGGGAGGAGUCACCACACCUAGCUUAAGACAUGAACUUAAAACCUUGAAGUCACUAACAUGGGCAUGCACAACUUCUCGACGGUUCUGUCUGUGUGCACUGUUUAGACUUCCAAAUUCUAUCCUGGGCCCUUCACCAUCACUCGGACUCUUCCUUAAUGGUGACUGAUAAUGGGGAGCUUCCUUAACCUGGCGAUGUCUGCAGGGAAGAAUUAAGCUCUGAGCCCUGUUGAUUAUUCUAUGCCCUAUACUCUGGACUUCUAUAUUCUAUUCUGGAUUAUUCAUCCAGCCUGGUCCCUAGACUUUCCCACAGGUAACACUGACUUUUCAAGAUAGCACAGCAGCAUCCACAGCUAAAGGCUGCAAUUCCAGCCCUGUUGCUCCAGUCACAAAGUCUCCUGACCUGUGAGCUCUACAUUGUCACCCCAGGCCUCUGUGGAUGUGCUGAUACCUCGGCAAGGCACAGAAGACUUCCAAGUGCAACUGCACAAACUUGCUAGGCCAUGGACAACAAGAACUCAUCCGACUCCCCAUCGAGCCACGUUAAGGAGAAUAUGUGUCUCGAAGCAUCAGUUCCCACGUUCUUCGGUUCCUUCAUAGCUACCUGGAUGUUUCUGCAGAGUCCUGUGGUUCAAACUUAUGACACUCUAAACUGCCUUCUCCCACUACGAGAUCAAUGAACUUAGAAAUCUCUAUCUACACAACACCCUACUUUCAAGACCAUUGCCCAACAAGGAGUUAUCUUGGAGAUUUAAAAUAAACAAUAGUUUCCCUUUUGAGGUGCUUCCUGACCUCUCUGAAACACUAACACCCCUUUGCUUACUGAGAGGAGAGCACAAAUGAACACAAUGUGGAUAUUCAUCCAAAACACACUCGUUCUGUCCCCUUGGAACACGUAAGGCGUUUUCUCAGAAAUGGCCUCGUCGCCAUCAACCCUCUCUGGGGAGCACCAGCAUCUUGCCUGUUAACUGCACCUCCCUCUCUUCCUUCAGAACUCAAUCCCAAAUGCUCAGUUUUCCCUUUUUGGACAGCUCAGUUUGGACCCACUCUUCUGGCUUUGAACUUAGCAAUUUUUCCAGACUGUGACCUCCAGUCUUUAAACACAGAAUAAGAAAGGUUUCUUUCGGGGGUUGGGGAUUUAGC
This 3678-nucleotide small RNA is filed under the name Rattus norvegicus (Norway rat). Its description in RNAcentral is "uncharacterized LOC102548297". Lineage: Eukaryota; Metazoa; Chordata; Mammalia; Rodentia; Muridae. The record is from RNAcentral.